Molecule: non-coding RNA, 24 nt
Filed under: Arabidopsis thaliana (thale cress)
Lineage: Eukaryota; Viridiplantae; Streptophyta; Magnoliopsida; Brassicales; Brassicaceae
Source: RNAcentral
AACACCAGGGAAUCUCAGCGGAUU